GCUUACGGCCAUACCACCCUGAGCACGCCUGAUCUCGUCUAAUCUCGGAAGCUAAGCAGGGCCGGGCCUCGUUAGUACUUAGAUGGGAGACCCCCUAUGAAUCCAAGGUGCUGUAAGCU
Betta splendens (Siamese fighting fish) is the source of this 119-nucleotide ribosomal RNA. NCBI's taxonomy places the organism in Eukaryota, Metazoa, Chordata, Actinopteri, Anabantiformes, Osphronemidae. The record is from Ensembl.